Molecule: ribosomal RNA, 1193 nt
Filed under: Escherichia coli
Lineage: Bacteria; Pseudomonadati; Pseudomonadota; Gammaproteobacteria; Enterobacterales; Enterobacteriaceae
Description: partial 23S ribosomal RNA
Rfam family: Bacterial large subunit ribosomal RNA
Source: RNAcentral
UGUGAGGUUAAGCGACUAAGCGUACACGGUGGAUGCCCUGGCAGUCAGAGGCGAUGAAGGACGUGCUAAUCUGCGAUAAGCGUCGGUAAGGUGAUAUGAACCGUUAUAACCGGCGAUUUCCGAAUGGGGAAACCCAGUGUGAUUCGUCACACUAUCAUUAACUGAAUCCAUAGGUUAAUGAGGCGAACCGGGGGAACUGAAACAUCUAAGUACCCCGAGGAAAAGAAAUCAACCGAGAUUCCCCCAGUAGCGGCGAGCGAACGGGGAGCAGCCCAGAGCCUGAAUCAGUGUGUGUGUUAGUGGAAGCGUCUGGAAAGGCGCGCGAUACAGGGUGACAGCCCCGUACACAAAAAUGCACAUACUGUGAGCUCGAUGAGUAGGGCGGGACACGUGGUAUCCUGUCUGAAUAUGGGGGGACCAUCCUCCAAGGCUAAAUACUCCUGACUGACCGAUAGUGAACCAGUACCGUGAGGGAAAGGCGAAAAGAACCCCGGCGAGGGGAGUGAAAAAGAACCUGAAACCGUGUACGUACAAGCAGUGGGAGCCUCUUUAUGGGGUGACUGCGUACCUUUUGUAUAAUGGGUCAGCGACUUAUAUUCUGUAGCAAGGUUAACCGAAUAGGGGAGCCGAAGGGAAACCGAGUCUUAACUGGGCGUUAAGUUGCAGGGUAUAGACCCGAAACCCGGUGAUCUAGCCAUGGGCAGGUUGAAGGUUGGGUAACACUAACUGGAGGACCGAACCGACUAAUGUUGAAAAAUUAGCGGAUGACUUGUGGCUGGGGGUGAAAGGCCAAUCAAACCGGGAGAUAGCUGGUUCUCCCCGAAAGCUAUUUAGGUAGCGCCUCGUGAAUUCAUCUCCGGGGGUAGAGCACUGUUUCGGCAAGGGGGUCAUCCCGACUUACCAACCCGAUGCAAACUGCGAAUACCGGAGAAUGUUAUCACGGGAGACACACGGCGGGUGCUAACGUCCGUCGUGAAGAGGGAAACAACCCAGACCGCCAGCUAAGGUCCCAAAGUCAUGGUUAAGUGGGAAACGAUGUGGGAAGGCCCAGACAGCCAGGAUGUUGGCUUAGAAGCAGCCAUCAUUUAAAGAAAGCGUAAUAGCUCACUGGUCGAGUCGGCCUGCGCGGAAGAUGUAACGGGGCUAAACCAUGCACCGAAGCUGCGGCAGCGACGCUUAUGCGUUGUUGGGUA